RNAcentral lists this ribosomal RNA (253 nucleotides) under uncultured prokaryote. Its description in RNAcentral is "partial 16S ribosomal RNA". It matches the Rfam family "Bacterial small subunit ribosomal RNA", at positions 526 to 777 of the family's 1533-position model. The record is from RNAcentral.
CGGAGGAUCCAAGCGUUAUCCGGAUUUACUGGGCGUAAAGAGUUGCGUAGGUGGCUAAAUAAGUGAAUAGUGAAAUCUGAUGGCUCAACCAUCAACACAUUAUUCAAACUGUUUAGCUCGAGAAUGAGAGAGGUCACUGGAAUUCCUUGUGUAGGAGUGAAAUCCGUAGAUAUAAGGAGGAACACCAAUGGCGUAGGCAGGUGACUGGCUCAUUUCUGACACUGAGGCACGAAAGCGUGGGGAGCGAACGGGA